AACGGGGAUUAAUACUCCAUGGUAUCAUUCUUUCGCAUGUUAGAAUGAUUAAAGAAUUUCGGUAUGAGAUGGGCAUGCGUCCCAUUAGCUAGUUGGUGAGGUAACGGCUCACCAAGGCGACGAUGGGUAGGGGGCCUGAGAGGGUGGUCCCCCACACUGGUACUGAGACACGGACCAGACUCCUACGGGAGGCAGCAGUGAGGAAUAUUGGUCAAUGGAGGCAACUCUGAACCAGCCAUGCCGCGUGAAGGAUGACGGCCCUAUGGGUUGUAAACUUCUUUUGAAUAGGAAGAAACUUAUCUACGUGUAGAUAACUGACGGUACUAUUAGAAUAAGGAUCGGCCAACUCCGUGCCAGCAGCCGCAGUAAUACGGAGGAUCCAAGCGUUAUCCGGAUUCAUUGGGUUUAAAGGGUCCGUAGGCGGGUCUUUUAAGUCAGUGGUGAAAGCCGACAGCUCAACUGUCGAACUGCCAUUGAUACUGGAGACCUUGAGUACAAAUGAAGUAGGCGGAAUGAGUCAUGUAGCGGUGAAAUGCAUAGA
RNAcentral lists this ribosomal RNA (541 nucleotides) under uncultured marine bacterium. RNAcentral describes it as "bacterial SSU rRNA". It matches the Rfam family "Bacterial small subunit ribosomal RNA", at positions 155 to 694 of the family's 1533-position model. The record is from RNAcentral.